AUGCUUCUGCAGUUUGACAGGGAAGCGGAAGAAAACAUCAAGGAGAAGCGGACGAGAAUUGUAAUAAUGUAUCUUUUGAUGGCAAUUAGAAAAGUGUUUUCGCAGGGGAGGCCUCUUCUACGAGCAAACAUGGCUACAGAAAGGCAUGCUGGCAAGAUAUACACCCGAGCAAUGUUCAAGCAGUUUGGGCAUAUAGUUUACAAGUGUGGUGCUUACCGGGUGGAAGAGAUUGAGAAAGGGAAGCUAUAUGUCGCAAUCCAUAUGUAUGCAAGUCGUAGAGAGAAGUGGUGCAGGAUUUCGUACAAGGUGACAGUGUUGAACGGUUGA
This 327-nucleotide ribosomal RNA is filed under the name Triticum aestivum (bread wheat). RNAcentral describes it as "partial small subunit ribosomal RNA". The record is from RNAcentral. Lineage: Eukaryota; Viridiplantae; Streptophyta; Magnoliopsida; Poales; Poaceae.